CCUACGGGUGGCAGCAGUGGGGAAUUUUGCGCAAUGCUCGUAAGAGUGACGCAGCGACGCCGCGUGAAUGACGAAGGCCUUCGGGUUGUAAACUUCUUUUAAGGGGGAAGAGCAGAAGACGGUACCCCUUGAAUAAGCCACGGCUAACUACGUGCCAGCAGCCGCGGGAAUACGUAGGUGGCAAGCGGUGUCCGGAUUUACUGGGUGUAAAGGGCGUGCAGCCGGAGAGACAAGUCCGAUGUGAAAUCCACGGGCUCAACCCGUGAACUGCAUUUGAAACUGUUUCCCUUGAGUGUCGGAGAGGUAAUCGGAAUGCGUUGUGUAGCGGUGAAAUGCGUAGAUAUAAGGAAGAACACCAGUGGCGAAGGCGGAUUACUGGACGAUAACUGACGGUGAGGCGCGAAAGCGUGGGGAGCAAACAGGAUUAGAUACCCCAGUAGUC
RNAcentral lists this ribosomal RNA (442 nucleotides) under uncultured bacterium. Its description in RNAcentral is "partial 16S ribosomal RNA". It matches the Rfam family "Bacterial small subunit ribosomal RNA", at positions 338 to 795 of the family's 1533-position model. The record is from RNAcentral.